RNAcentral lists this ribosomal RNA (2412 nucleotides) under Escherichia coli. Its description in RNAcentral is "bacterial LSU rRNA". It matches the Rfam family "Bacterial large subunit ribosomal RNA", at positions 410 to 2812 of the family's 2925-position model. Lineage: Bacteria; Pseudomonadati; Pseudomonadota; Gammaproteobacteria; Enterobacterales; Enterobacteriaceae. The record is from RNAcentral.
AAGCGACAGCGUGGUAUCCUGUCUGAAUAUGGGGGGACCAUCCUCCAAGGCUAAAUACUCCUGACUGACCGAUAGUGAACCAGUACCGUGAGGGAAAGGCGAAAAGAACCCCGGCGAGGGGAGUGAAAAAGAACCUGAAACCGUGUACGUACAAGCAGUGGGAGCACAGAGCAAUCUGUGUGACUGCGUACCUUUUGUAUAAUGGGUCAGCGACUUAUAUUCUGUAGCAAGGUUAACCGAAUAGGGGAGCCGAAGGGAAACCGAGUCUUAACUGGGCGUUAAGUUGCAGGGUAUAGACCCGAAACCCGGUGAUCUAGCCAUGGGCAGGUUGAAGGUUGGGUAACACUAACUGGAGGACCGAACCGACUAAUGUUGAAAAAUUAGCGGAUGACUUGUGGCUGGGGGUGAAAGGCCAAUCAAACCGGGAGAUAGCUGGUUCUCCCCGAAAGCUAUUUAGGUAGCGCCUCGUGAAUUCAUCUCCGGGGGUAGAGCACUGUUUCGGCAAGGGGGUCAUCCCGACUUACCAACCCGAUGCAAACUGCGAAUACCGGAGAAUGUUAUCACGGGAGACACACGGCGGGUGCUAACGUCCGUCGUGAAGAGGGAAACAACCCAGACCGCCAGCUAAGGUCCCAAAGUCAUGGUUAAGUGGGAAACGAUGUGGGAAGGCCCAGACAGCCAGGAUGUUGGCUUAGAAGCAGCCAUCAUUUAAAGAAAGCGUAAUAGCUCACUGGUCGAGUCGGCCUGCGCGGAAGAUGUAACGGGGCUAAACCAUGCACCGAAGCUGCGGCAGCGACACUGUGUGUUGUUGGGUAGGGGAGCGUUCUGUAAGCCUGUGAAGGUGUGCUGUGAGGCAUGCUGGAGGUAUCAGAAGUGCGAAUGCUGACAUAAGUAACGAUAAAGCGGGUGAAAAGCCCGCUCGCCGGAAGACCAAGGGUUCCUGUCCAACGUUAAUCGGGGCAGGGUGAGUCGACCCCUAAGGCGAGGCCGAAAGGCGUAGUCGAUGGGAAACAGGUUAAUAUUCCUGUACUUGGUGUUACUGCGAAGGGGGGACGGAGAAGGCUAUGUUGGCCGGGCGACGGUUGUCCCGGUUUAAGCGUGUAGGCUGGUUUUCCAGGCAAAUCCGGAAAAUCAAGGCUGAGGCGUGAUGACGAGGCACUACGGUGCUGAAGCAACAAAUGCCCUGCUUCCAGGAAAAGCCUCUAAGCAUCAGGUAACAUCAAAUCGUACCCCAAACCGACACAGGUGGUCAGGUAGAGAAUACCAAGGCGCUUGAGAGAACUCGGGUGAAGGAACUAGGCAAAAUGGUGCCGUAACUUCGGGAGAAGGCACGCUGAUAUGUAGGUGAAGUCCCUCGCGGAUGGAGCUGAAAUCAGUCGAAGAUACCAGCUGGCUGCAACUGUUUAUUAAAAACACAGCACUGUGCAAACACGAAAGUGGACGUAUACGGUGUGACGCCUGCCCGGUGCCGGAAGGUUAAUUGAUGGGGUCAGCGCAAGCGAAGCUCUUGAUCGAAGCCCCGGUAAACGGCGGCCGUAACUAUAACGGUCCUAAGGUAGCGAAAUUCCUUGUCGGGUAAGUUCCGACCUGCACGAAUGGCGUAAUGAUGGCCAGGCUGUCUCCACCCGAGACUCAGUGAAAUUGAACUCGCUGUGAAGAUGCAGUGUACCCGCGGCAAGACGGAAAGACCCCGUGAACCUUUACUAUAGCUUGACACUGAACAUUGAGCCUUGAUGUGUAGGAUAGGUGGGAGGCUUUGAAGUGUGGACGCCAGUCUGCAUGGAGCCGACCUUGAAAUACCACCCUUUAAUGUUUGAUGUUCUAACGUGGACCCGUGAUCCGGGUUGCGGACAGUGUCUGGUGGGUAGUUUGACUGGGGCGGUCUCCUCCUAAAGAGUAACGGAGGAGCACGAAGGUUGGCUAAUCCUGGUCGGACAUCAGGAGGUUAGUGCAAUGGCAUAAGCCAGCUUGACUGCGAGCGUGACGGCGCGAGCAGGUGCGAAAGCAGGUCAUAGUGAUCCGGUGGUUCUGAAUGGAAGGGCCAUCGCUCAACGGAUAAAAGGUACUCCGGGGAUAACAGGCUGAUACCGCCCAAGAGUUCAUAUCGACGGCGGUGUUUGGCACCUCGAUGUCGGCUCAUCACAUCCUGGGGCUGAAGUAGGUCCCAAGGGUAUGGCUGUUCGCCAUUUAAAGUGGUACGCGAGCUGGGUUUAGAACGUCGUGAGACAGUUCGGUCCCUAUCUGCCGUGGGCGCUGGAGAACUGAGGGGGGCUGCUCCUAGUACGAGAGGACCGGAGUGGACGCAUCACUGGUGUUCGGGUUGUCAUGCCAAUGGCACUGCCCGGUAGCUAAAUGCGGAAGAGAUAAGUGCUGAAAGCAUCUAAGCACGAAACUUGCCCCGAGAUGAGUUCU